GAACGCCGGCGGCGUGCCUAAUACAUGCAAGUAGAACGCUGAAGGAGGAGCUUGCUUCUCCGGAUGAGUUGCGAACGGGUGAGUAACGCGUAGGUAACCUGCCUGGUAGCGGGGGAUAACUAUUGGAAACGAUAGCUAAUACCGCAUAACAGUAGAUAUUGCAUGAUAUCUGCUUGAAAGGUGCAAUUGCAUCACUACCAGAUGGACCUGCGUUGUAUUAGCUAGUUGGUGAGGUAACGGCUCACCAAGGCGACGAUACAUAGCCGACCUGAGAGGGUGAUCGGCCACACUGGGACUGAGACACGGCCCAGACUCCUACCGGAGGCAGCAGUAGGGAAUCUUCGGCAAUGGACGGAAGUCUGACCGAGCAACGCCGCGUGAGUGAAGAAGGUUUUCGGAUCGUAAAGCUCUGUUGUAAGAGAAGAACGAGUGUGAGAGUGGAAAGUUCACACUGUGACGGUAUCUUACCAGAAAGGGACGGCUAACUACGUGCCAGCAGCCGCGGU
This 506-nucleotide ribosomal RNA is filed under the name unidentified oral bacterium SH57. RNAcentral describes it as "bacterial SSU rRNA". It matches the Rfam family "Bacterial small subunit ribosomal RNA", at positions 31 to 521 of the family's 1533-position model. The record is from RNAcentral.